This 465-nucleotide ribosomal RNA is filed under the name Vreelandella stevensii. RNAcentral's name for it is "partial 16S ribosomal RNA". It matches the Rfam family "Bacterial small subunit ribosomal RNA", at positions 338 to 795 of the family's 1533-position model. The record is from RNAcentral. Lineage: Bacteria; Pseudomonadati; Pseudomonadota; Gammaproteobacteria; Oceanospirillales; Halomonadaceae.
CCUACGGGUGGCAGCAGUGGGGAAUAUUGGACAAUGGGCGAAAGCCUGAUCCAGCCAUGCCGCGUGUGUGAAGAAGGCCUUCGGGUUGUAAAGCACUUUCAGUGGGGAAGAAAGCCUUGGGGCUAAUACCCUCGAGGAAGGACAUCACCCACAGAAGAAGCACCGGCUAACUCCGUGCCAGCAGCCGCGGUAAUACGGAGGGUGCGAGCGUUAAUCGGAAUUACUGGGCGUAAAGCGCGCGUAGGCGGUCUGGUAAGCCGGUUGUGAAAGCCCCGGGCUCAACCUGGGAACGGCAUCCGGAACUGUCAGGCUAGAGUGCAGGAGAGGAAGGUAGAAUUCCCGGUGUAGCGGUGAAAUGCGUAGAGAUCGGGAGGAAUACCAGUGGCGAAGGCGGCCUUCUGGACUGACACUGACGCUGAGGUGCGAAAGCGUGGGUAGCAAACAGGAUUAGAUACCCUUGUAGUC